GGGCGGUUAGCUCAGCGGUAGAGCGCCUGCCUUACAAGCAGGAUGUCAUUGGUUCAAAUCCAAUACCGCCCA
Molecule: transfer RNA, 72 nt
Filed under: Dactylococcopsis salina PCC 8305
Lineage: Bacteria; Bacillati; Cyanobacteriota; Cyanophyceae; Nodosilineales; Cymatolegaceae
Also listed under: 5 other names
Description: tRNA-Val (TAC) (tRNA-Val-TAC-1-1)
Rfam family: tRNA
About the family: Transfer RNA (tRNA) molecules are approximately 80 nucleotides in length. Their secondary structure includes four short double-helical elements and three loops (D, anti-codon, and T loops). Further hydrogen bonds mediate the characteristic L-shaped molecular structure. tRNAs have two regions of fundamental functional importance: the anti-codon, which is responsible for specific mRNA codon recognition, and the 3' end, to which the tRNAs corresponding amino acid is attached (by aminoacyl-tRNA synthetases). tRNAs cope with the degeneracy of the genetic code in two manners: having more than one tRNA (with a specific anti-codon) for a particular amino acid; and 'wobble' base-pairing, i.e. permitting non-standard base-pairing at the 3rd anti-codon position.
Source: Rfam by way of RNAcentral